CCAGACUCCUACGGAGGCAGCAGUGGGGAAUAUUGCACAAUGGGGGAAACCCUGAUGCAGCAACGCCGCGUGAGUGAAGAAGUAUUUCGGUAUGUAAAGCUCUAUCAGCAGGGAAGAAGAUGACGGUACCUGACCAAGAAGCCCCGGCUAACUACGUGCCAGCAGCCGCGGUAAUACGUAGGGGGCAAGCGUUAUCCGGAUUUACUGGGUGUAAAGGGAGCGCAGACGGCAGUGCAAGUCUGGAGUGAAAGCCCGGGGCCCAACCCCGGAACUGCUCUGGAAACUGUGCGGCUAGAGUACUGGAGGGGCAGGCGGAAUUCCUAGUGUAGCGGUGAAAUGCGUAGAUAUUAGGAGGAACACCGGCGGCGAAGGCGGCCUGCUGGACCGAAACUGACGUUGAGGCUCGAGAGCGUGGGGAGCAAACAGGAUUAGAUACCCUCGUAU
Molecule: ribosomal RNA, 444 nt
Filed under: uncultured bacterium
Lineage: Bacteria
Description: bacterial SSU rRNA
Rfam family: Bacterial small subunit ribosomal RNA
Source: RNAcentral